UAUGAAUUUAAGACUAAGUCCUAAAAAAUUGCAGGCAAACUAUCAAAAUUAUUUUCUAAGCCUUCAUUUAAAUCCUAAAUUGUGUCCCAGAGACAAAUCCUCAUUUAGAGUCUAAAGAGGAAAUUUUGAACCCAGAAGCCAAGAAUAAAAAUCGCAAGCAUAGUAUUAGAUUCUAAACGAAGGAGAUGCCUUUUUUCUAUUACUUCAUAAUAAACAAAGUAACAGGGUUAUCAUAGCAAAGCAACAUAAUAAAGCAAGUAACAGGGUAUCAUAGCACUUUGAACAUCUGUCUAAUCCCCAUAAAUUAAUCACAGCUUUGACAACAGAAUUUGAAACUAAUAGGAAAGACAGACUAGUAACAAACUCUAAACAAAGCAUUAAAAUAAUUUAAAAUAAAUACACUGUAACAAUUAAAAUUUUUUUAAGUUUGGUUUCGUUAAAGCAGACAUGACACAACUUUAGAACUGCAUCAACUCUCCUAUCACUUGAAAAACAAGCUCAAAUAUAAAAGCUUACUUGUUCAGACAUAGCUAAAACAGCACAUGAUACUGUUUAAUUUUCUUAAACUUACGUAUAUUUUUAUACAAAACAUGCUUUAAAAUGAUCACUUCUAAAUUAAUUGUCAUUUUUUAUACUAAUUUCUUCACAAAGCAAGACCUAAUUGUAUUGUGUA
Molecule: long non-coding RNA, 673 nt
Filed under: Homo sapiens (human)
Lineage: Eukaryota; Metazoa; Chordata; Mammalia; Primates; Hominidae
Description: non-protein coding lnc-SERPINE3-1:1
Source: RNAcentral